Molecule: small RNA, 172 nt
Filed under: Chelonoidis abingdonii (Abingdon island giant tortoise)
Lineage: Eukaryota; Metazoa; Chordata; Testudines; Testudinidae
Description: TUC338 (ENSCABG00000019441.1)
Source: RNAcentral
UUGAUAGCCAUUUCCUGGGAAACCUUCUAGCCACAGACCAGGUACAACACAAGCACUGAUAGUUCAUGCUUCUUCCACAGUAUAUUGGCAAUGAACCUUACAUCUCUAGGGGAAAGAUCAUCUCUGUAGGAGAAAAGGCAGCUUGGUAGAGCUGGAUGAAAAAAUUGCAUUU